Felis catus (domestic cat) is the source of this 844-nucleotide long non-coding RNA. RefSeq lists it as uncharacterized. The record is from RefSeq and is a predicted model, not a curated record. NCBI's taxonomy places the organism in Eukaryota, Metazoa, Chordata, Mammalia, Carnivora, Felidae. The transcript is spliced from 2 exons.
CCAGGCACCCCUGGUUUGUUUUUUAAGAAUCCAUUUUGUAGAAAAAGAGGCAACCACGGAUUCUUCUCUCGGUUGGCAAGGCAAGGAGAAGGGGCCCCUUUGCCCUCUCUUCCUAGACAACUUGUCCUGAAAAUGGAACAAGUAGUCCUUCCAGCUCCAUGGGUGCAGUGAGGCUUGAGCAGGGCGCUGUGUGCAGAGGAGCUGGGCCAUGGCCAGCACUAAGUGCUCACAAAUGUCAUCACUACGACCGAUCGCUGACCUAGCAGGGGCUUUGUGACCUCACGUGACAGACGUGUUUCGCUGGGAGUGUUUUCCCAGUGGCAAGUUUGGGGAGGAUGCAGAGGUUGGACACACACGUGCUCACACACGUACGGUGGCAAGUUCAGUUAUGUGUAUAUCUACAUUAUACCUUCAUAACUACGAGGAGAUGUUCAUCAUAACAUUAUUUGGGAUAGCAAACGAUGAAACAAUUACUGGAAACAAUCUAAAUAACCGCAAAGUUGGGCAUUCAUCAAAUAGUGUGUGUCACAUCCAAACAAUGGAAUACAAUGUAACCAUUAAAAAGAAGGAGGUUUUCCAGUAUUAACAUGGAAAAACAUCUGUGAUUUAUUGUUAGGUUUACAAAAGCAAGUUAAAGACUAUAGUACGUAACUCAUUAAAAAAAAAUCAAACAUCUUUUUAAGGAUCUGUAUCUACACUCCUAAAUCCAGGUGAAACCUGUGCCUGGAUGACACAAAACAAUUCCAACAGCAUUCCCUCCGGUGAAUGAAGUGUUAUGGAUUAAUAAAAAUAAUUAUCUACAACACCUAAGCUUUGUGUUUCUAACUUAAAGGGUAAUGAGAUU